UACGUAGGGGGCGAGCGUUGUCCGGAUUUAUUGGGCGUAAAGAGCGUGUAGGCGGUUCGGUAAGUCUGCCGUGAAAACCUGAGGCUCAACCUCGGGCGUGCGGUGGAUACUGCCGGGCUAGAGGACGGUAGAGGCGAGUGGAAUUCCCGGUGUAGCGGUGAAAUGCGCAGAUAUCGGGAAGAACACCAACGGCGAAAGCACUCUGCUGGGCCGACACUGACACUGAGAGACGAAAGCUAGGGGAGCAAAUGGG
This 253-nucleotide ribosomal RNA is filed under the name uncultured bacterium. RNAcentral describes it as "partial 16S ribosomal RNA". It matches the Rfam family "Bacterial small subunit ribosomal RNA", at positions 524 to 776 of the family's 1533-position model. The record is from RNAcentral.